UCCCCGCAGCAGGCAUCUCCCCUCCCCUCCCGCCGCCGCCGCCGCCGCCGCAACCACGGCGGUCUGCACGAACGAAGUCGAUCUGUUUAUUGUGCAAUAUGAUCUGAUCAACUGGGGAAAUGGUAUGGCGGUGAUGAUAAAUUUAAGGCUUGUUUCUCAAAACAUUUGCAGUUGCCGCCCAAGAGCUUUCGCCCAGCCAGGCUCGAGAGCUAGUGCUGCUAAUUCCUUCCUUGGAUGUCUGAGCCUUGUUAACAUCCCCAUUUAUGUUUCAGUUUUAUUAGUCUGUGGUCUGCACUGGUUGGUUUUUUGCAUAGCAAGUGAAGAUGAAGGCUUGAUUACAUUUUUGCUAAGGCUGGAACCAUCAUUUUGUUUAGUGAUUGAUUGUUGAAAAGCAAUGGUGAAGUGUUUGUUGCUUGGAUAUGGAUAGACUUUGGGUCACGGAUGCAUUUUGUAUUUUUGUUGUAUAUAUUUAUAAUGGGUUUGAGUCCUUUAGCUCUGUUUUUCUCAAGCCUGAAUUUUAUCUGUCAACGUAUAUUCUGUAUUUUUUGGAAGCAAAUCCGAACUGAUCCCUGUGAUGUGUCCAUGAA
Triticum dicoccoides is the source of this 587-nucleotide long non-coding RNA. RefSeq lists it as uncharacterized. The record is from RefSeq and is a predicted model, not a curated record. NCBI's taxonomy places the organism in Eukaryota, Viridiplantae, Streptophyta, Magnoliopsida, Poales, Poaceae. The transcript is spliced from 2 exons.